Molecule: ribosomal RNA, 331 nt
Filed under: uncultured Lachnospiraceae bacterium
Lineage: Bacteria; Bacillati; Bacillota; Clostridia; Lachnospirales; Lachnospiraceae
Description: bacterial SSU rRNA
Rfam family: Bacterial small subunit ribosomal RNA
Source: RNAcentral
GAUGAACGCUGGCGGCGUGCUUAACACAUGCAAGUCGAACGGAGGAUCUUCGCCGAGGAAGCUUCGGCCGAAUCAUGAAGAUUCUUAGUGGCGGACGGGUGAGUAACGCGUGGGUAGCCUGCCCCAGACAGGGGGAUAACAGUUAGAAAUGACUGCUAACACCGCAUAAGCGCACGGUAAGGCAUCUUACAGUGUGAAAAUAUUUAUAGGUCUGGGAUGGGCCCGCGUCUGAUUAGCCAGUUGGCAGGGUAAUGGCCUACCAAAGCAACGAUCAGUAGCCGGCUUGAGAGAGUGAACGGCCACAUUGGGACUGAGACACGGCCCAAACUCC